This 29-nucleotide non-coding RNA is filed under the name Rattus norvegicus (Norway rat). Lineage: Eukaryota; Metazoa; Chordata; Mammalia; Rodentia; Muridae. The record is from RNAcentral.
UUCUAUCAGAAGAGAAUCGAGUGAACCUU